This 1481-nucleotide ribosomal RNA is filed under the name uncultured prokaryote. Its description in RNAcentral is "partial 16S ribosomal RNA". It matches the Rfam family "Bacterial small subunit ribosomal RNA". The record is from RNAcentral.
AACGAACGCUGGCGGCGUGGAUAAGACAUUCGGGCAUUAGCGGCUCCCUUGACGUGACCAAUAUUCUGUGUGCUCAGCGGCGCAAGGGUGCGUAACACGUGGGUAAUUUGCCAUGAAGUCUGGGAUAACUUGCUGAAAGGCGAGCUAAUACCGGAUGUGACUUCCGAAGGGCAUCUUUUGGAAAUCAAAGCUGGGGAUCGUAAGACCUGGCGCUUCGCGAUAAGCCCGCGCCCUAUCAGCUAGUUGGUGUGGUAACGGCACACCAAGGCUUAGACGGGUAGCUGGUCUGAGAGGACGAUCGGCCACACUGGAACUGAGACACGGUCCAGACACCUACGGGUGGCAGCAGUCGAGAAUCAUUCACAAUGGGCGAAAGCCUGAUGGUGCGACGCCGCGUGGGGGAUGAAGGUCUUCGGAUCGUAAACCCCUGUCAUUUGUUAACAAACCUUUGAGGUUAAUACCCUUAAAGCUGAUAGUAGCAAAAGAGGAAGGGACGGCUAACUCUGUGCCAGCAGCCGCGGUAAUACAGAGGUCCCAAGCGUUGUUCGGAUUUACUGGGCGUAAAGGGUGCGUAGGUGGUCAGAUUAGUCUGAUGUGAAAGCUCUGGGCUCAACCCAGAAAUUGCAUUGGAAACUGUUUGACUUGAGGAUCGGAGGGGAGUCUGGAAUUCCAGGUGUAGCAGUGAAAUGCGUAGAUAUCUGGAGGAACAUCAGUGGCGAAGGCGAGACUCUGGACGAUUCCUGACACUGAGGCACGAAGGCUAGGGGAGCAAACAGGAUUAGAUACCCUGGUAGUCCUAGCAGUAAACGGUGUGCACUUGCUGUAGGCGGAUUCGACCCCGCCUGUGGCGGAGCUAACGCGUUAAGUGCACCGCCUGGGGAGUACGGUCGCAAGAUUAAAACUCAAAGAAAUUGACGGGGGCCUGCACAAGCGGUGGAGUAUGUGGCUUAAUUCGAUGCAACGCGAAGAACCUUACCUGGCCUUGACAUGUAUCUAGUACGACCGUGAAAGGGUGACGAGGUAGCAAUACCAAUUUGCACAGGUGCUGCAUGGCUGUCGUCAGCUCGUGUCGUGAGAUGUUGGGUUAAGUCCCGCAACGAGCGCAACCCUUGUGUCCUGUUGCCACUCGAACGAGAGUUCGAAGCACUCUGGACAGACUGCCCCGUUUAAACGGGGAGGAAGGUGGGGAUGACGUCAAGUCAGUAUGGCCCUUACGGCCAGGGCUGCACACGUACUACAAUGCCCGGCACAAAGGGAUGCAAUACCGUGAGGUGGAGCGAAUCCCAUAAAACCGGGCCCAGUUCGGAUUGUAGUCUGCAACUCGACUACAUGAAGCCGGAAUCGCUAGUAAUGGCGCAUCAGCUACGGCGCCGUGAAUACGUUCCCAGGCCUUGUACACACCGCCCGUCACAUCAUGAAAGCCGGUUGUACCCGAAGUCGCCCCUAAGAAGGUGCCGAAGGUAUGGAUGGUGAUUGGGAUG